This 87-nucleotide transfer RNA is filed under the name bacterium. Its description in RNAcentral is "tRNA-Leu". It matches the Rfam family "tRNA". Rfam says of the family: Transfer RNA (tRNA) molecules are approximately 80 nucleotides in length. Their secondary structure includes four short double-helical elements and three loops (D, anti-codon, and T loops). RNAcentral also lists the same sequence under 2 other names. The record is from RNAcentral.
GCCCAGGUGGCGGAAUUGGUAGACGCGCCACCUUGAGGUGGUGGUUCUCAUUAUACGAGAGUGGAGGUUCGAGUCCUCUCCUGGGCA